GUAUUGAUUGCGUGUGACCGCAAAAAUAACAUUCUACACUGUAUCAAGUUUUGUGUGAAAACGUGAGCCCUCCUGCAAAGGGGACCCACGCGGUGAUGCACAAAGGGUGAAAUGGAUUGAGAGCACUCGGGCGUGCACGACCAAAAGGUCAGCGACAACCUGAGCACCUCUGUAGUACGAUAAUGAUCCUUCCGCAGGUUCACCUACGGAAA
Molecule: unclassified non-coding RNA, 212 nt
Filed under: uncultured fungus
Lineage: Eukaryota; Fungi
Description: sequence contains ITS1
Source: RNAcentral